CCUACGGGAGGCAGCAGUGGGGAAUUUUGGACAAUGGGCGCAAGCCUGAUCCAGCAAUGCCGCGUGAGUGAAGAAGGCCUUCGGGUUGUAAAGCUCUUUUGUCAGGGAAGAAACGGUCUACUCUAAUACAGUGGGCUAAUGACGGUACCUGAAGAAUAAGCACCGGCUAACUACGUGCCAGCAGCCGCGGUAAUACGUAGGGUGCAAGCGUUAAUCGGAAUUACUGGGCGUAAAGCGUGCGCAGGCGGUUAUAUAAGUCAGAUGUGAAAUCCCCGGGCUCAACCUGGGAACUGCAUUUGAGACUGUAUGGCUAGAGUGUGUCAGAGGGGGGUAGAAUUCCACGUGUAGCAGUGAAAUGCGUAGAUAUGUGGAGGAAUACCGAUGGCGAAGGCAGCCCCCUGGGAUAACACUGACGCUCAUGCACGAAAGCGUGGGGAGCAAACAGGAUUAGAUACCCUGGUAGUCCACGCCCUAAACGAUGUCUACUAGUUGUCGGGACUUAAUUGUCUUGGUAACGCAGCUAACGCGUGAAGUAGACCGCCUGGGGAAGUACGGUCGCAAGAUUAAAACUUCAAAUUGAAUUGACCGG
This 589-nucleotide ribosomal RNA is filed under the name uncultured bacterium. Its description in RNAcentral is "bacterial SSU rRNA". It matches the Rfam family "Bacterial small subunit ribosomal RNA", at positions 338 to 917 of the family's 1533-position model. The record is from RNAcentral.